RNAcentral lists this ribosomal RNA (735 nucleotides) under uncultured bacterium. RNAcentral describes it as "bacterial SSU rRNA". It matches the Rfam family "Bacterial small subunit ribosomal RNA", at positions 335 to 1064 of the family's 1533-position model. The record is from RNAcentral.
ACUCCUACGGGUGGCUGCAGUGGGGAAUAUUGCACAAUGGGGGGAACCCUGAUGCAGCCAUGCCGCGUGAAUGAAGAAGGCCUUAGGGUUGUAAAGUUCUUUCGGUGACGAGGAAGGUUGGUAGGUUAAUAGCCUAUCAAAUUGACGUUAAUCACAGAAGAAGCACCGGCUAACUCCGUGCCAGCAGCCGCGGUAAUACGGGGGGUGCGAGCGUUAAUCGGAAUAACUGGGCGUAAAGGGCACGCAGGCGGUGACUUAAGUGAGAUGUGAAAGCCCCGAGCUUAACUUGGGAAUUGCAUUUCAUACUGGGUCGCUAGAGUACUUUAGGGAGGGGUAGAAUUCCACGUGUAGCGGUGAAAUGCGUAGAGAUGUGGAGGAAUACCGAAGGCGAAGGCAGCCCCUUGGGAAUGUACUGACGCUCAUGUGCGAAAGCGUGGGGAGCAAACAGGAUUAGAUACCCUGGUAGUCCACGCUGUAAACGAUGUCGAUUUGGGGAUUGGGCUUUAAGCUUGGUGCCCGUAGCUAACGUGAUAAAUCGACCGCCUGGGGAGUACGGCCGCAAGGUUAAAACUCAAAUGAAUUGACGGGGGCCCGCACAAGCGGUGGAGCAUGUGGUUUAAUUCGAUGCAACGCGAAGAACCUUACCUACUCUUGACAUCCAUGGAAUCUUGUAGAGAUACGAGAGUGCCUUCGGGAACCAUGAGACAGGUGAUGCAUGGUUGUCGUCAGCUCGUG